UACAGAGGUGGCAAGCGUUGUUCGGAAUUACUGGGCGUAAAGGGCGCGUAGGCGGUUCGAUAAGUCCCGUGUGAAAUCCCUCGGCUCAACUGAGGAACUGCACGGGAAACUGACGGGCUUGAGUUCGGGAGAGGGAAGCGGAAUUCCGGGUGUAGCGGUGAAAUGCGUAGAUAUCGAGAGGAACACCUGCGGCGAAGGCGACUACCUGGCCUGUUCUUGACGCUGAGGCGCGAAAGCUAGGGGAGCAAACGGG
Molecule: ribosomal RNA, 253 nt
Filed under: uncultured bacterium
Lineage: Bacteria
Description: partial 16S ribosomal RNA
Rfam family: Bacterial small subunit ribosomal RNA
Source: RNAcentral